GAUGCUUUAAAACAUCAAGCACUUUUCCAAUACAAAAUUAAAUGAAUCCAUCAUCAUCUGGUGUAUUCAAUUUCAAUAUACAAAUGUCCUAUUCAUGUUCUUUUGACAUAAAGUUGCGCUUAAAAUAUAAAGAUGCAGACAAAGUUAGCUGUUUAUACAUGGACUACAUAUACAUAUAAGAAUCUAUGCAAAAAUAAAAGCAAACACUGUCGAUAAAUAUUGAAUCUAGAGAGAAAAUGAGCGUCCAUUACAUAAACUAAGCACCCAAGUAUGGCUCUAUGAGGCAAAAUUUCAAUGAGAAGAAAAAAAUCAUGAUCCAGAUUCUGUCAACUGAUAAUAACAUGUAACCAAUGCUAAGUUGCAAAGGAGAAAAAAAAUGACAGUGAAUAACACACGAAAUGCAAUGAUUAAUUAAGCAUUACAUCCUUGCUCAACACAUGUUUUGUAACACAUUAAACAAACAGAAAUUAUCAGAGAUCUUUAAUUACAUAGUGC
Molecule: unclassified non-coding RNA, 495 nt
Filed under: Hevea brasiliensis (rubber tree)
Lineage: Eukaryota; Viridiplantae; Streptophyta; Magnoliopsida; Malpighiales; Euphorbiaceae
Source: RNAcentral